GGCCUCAGAAAAAUAAAUAAGUCAUUGGGCCUAAUAAGGGCAGCGGGCCCACUCGAAUUGGUCACAUGGCCUUGAGAGGGGUCCCUUUCCCCAAUUCAGAUUUUCAUUUCCUCAUUUCCCUUCUCUCUCUAGAACUCAGAUUUCUUAUUUUCUCUGACUUUUCUCUAACCUUGCUCCACCUUCUCUGUACCAAUUUCUCAAAUUUCCACCGUUGUUAUUUCAAAUAGGUGGUCCCCCUACGUUCCCGGAGUCGAGAGCUUCCAAUCCAUCUGAUUAGUUUCGCGUCUCUCCACUGAUAAGGUACUAUCGGAAUUACCUCUGUGCGGAGGUACUGUUAGGACGCUUUUAGGAACUGUGCUGUGAGAACCAAAAGAUGGCGAGGAUGUUACUCUGGAGACAGUCUUGGAGGAGAACAGCGAUGCAGCUGCUUAGUUCUGCUAGGAGAUUUCAUGACCCCCUUAUGUUAUCUACAAACAAUUCCUUCUUAUGUUAUUCUGAAAUACUUUAGUGCUUCAAGUUUUAAAUUCCUACUCAAUUUGGAUAACUGUAAUCCCUAUACUCAAGACUCUUAACUGCCUGUCUGCACUCCAACUGCUUUCUUUAUUAUAAUGGAUGACGUCUUAUUAUUAUAUGCA
Vigna radiata var. radiata (mung bean) is the source of this 635-nucleotide long non-coding RNA. RefSeq lists it as uncharacterized. Lineage: Eukaryota; Viridiplantae; Streptophyta; Magnoliopsida; Fabales; Fabaceae. The transcript is spliced from 3 exons. The record is from RefSeq and is a predicted model, not a curated record.